This 2134-nucleotide long non-coding RNA is filed under the name Homo sapiens (human). RNAcentral's name for it is "HSALNT0210857". The record is from RNAcentral. Lineage: Eukaryota; Metazoa; Chordata; Mammalia; Primates; Hominidae.
UGUAUAUAUAUAUGUAUUUUUUUUUUUGAGACAGAGUUUCACUCUUGUUGCCCAGGCUGGAGUACUGUGGUGCUAUCUCGGCUCACUGCAACCUCCACCUCCUGUGUUCAAGCGAUUCUCCCACCUCAGCCUCCUGAGUAGCUGGGAUUGCAGGCACCCGCCAUCUCACCCCGCUAAAUUUUGUAUUUUUAGUAGAGAUGGGGUUUCACCAUGUUGGCCAGGCUCGUCUCAAACUGCUGACCUCAGGUGAUCCUGCUGUCUUGGCCUCCCGAAGUGCUGGGAUUACAGGCAUAUAUUUUCAGUAGAGAUGGGGUAUCACCAUGUUGCUCAGCUGGUUCUCAAACUCCUGACGUCAAGUGAUCCUCCUGCCUCAGCCUCCCAAAGUGCUGGGAUUACAGGUGUGAGCCACCACACCUGAGCCUAAUUCUCUAUUUUAACCCCACAAUUUAGGUAUUACUAUUGUUGGUGCCUUAUGCAGUCAAUAUUAGUCUAGAUUCCCCUACUUAUUUUGCAUUUAUUAUGCUCAUCAUUGGUUCUUGCAUCAUGGACCUUCUUUUUGGGCUCAUUUUACUUCUUUCUGGAGCAGACCCUCUGAAGUUUUGAAGCCAGUCAUUAAACUAACUUUUUUAUAUGCAGUCUGUCUUUUGUUGUUCUGUAGUGUCUAGGUGUAAUUUUUUUAUUCAGUCUUUUUAGGAUUCAUCAGGAUUCUUGAAUCUGAAGAUUUUUGGCUUUCAACAGUUUUAGAAAUGUUUCCACUAUUAUGUCUUUGAAUAUUGCCUCAUUCCUGUAUUCUCUACUAAUUUCUUAUUAGAGGUAUGUUAAACAUUCUCCCCCUGUCCCCAAUAUUGAUUAAUUUUUCUUUUAUAUUUUUCAUCUCUUUAUUACUCUUUAUCCUAAACAAUUUCUUUAGAACUAGCUUCAAGUUUAUUAUUUCUUCAACCAUGCCUAAUCUUUCAUCUCUUUAUUGAGUUUCUAAAUUCAAUGAUAUAUUUUAAAUUUAUAGAUGCUCUACAUAUGAUGAAAUCUGCCUCUCCAUACUUAAAGUACUAUCUUUUUAUAUUUAAAUAUGUUCAAUGAAAUUAUAUUCUUUAUUUCUGUAUAUGUAGUCACGGUGAGUCUGAUAGGGUUGUUGGUGUUCUGCUGAGUGUCAGUCAUGUUAAUUUGUCUCCUCUUGUGUGUACAGGUUUUUGAGCUUAACUUGGUUUGUCAUCUGUAUAAAUUUUUGGAGACCAGACUUCAAGGUGUGUUCCUCUAGGAUUUGUACUUAUUUCUACCAGUCACUUGGAGGUGUUUUAAAUUCUCACCUUGGGGUUUUUCAUACCUAAGGGUUAUACAAAUUUUGCCUUGGUGUGCAGGGCCAGUUUGUGGAUAGAAACUCAUGGAGGAAAUUUUUUUCUCUUUCUUUUCCAGAGCCAAGGCAAAAUAGGCACAUUUUUUUUUGUUUGUUUUGCUAUCUCCGUCUCUGGGGGAUAUUUCCUGGUUCCACUGAGGGAGUUGCUGGUGGGUCUCAUCUGACCUCUCUCUUGCUAGGCUUUUCCUCCAGUGCCUCUGUUUGUAUAAAGACCAAUGAACUAAAAGACCCAGUCCAUCAGUGACCAGCAGAAACUCCGUGGUAGCUGUUAGCUCUUAGACUUGGCUGCUUCACUGGAUUCACGUUUUUCUUCAUUUUUAGCUUUGAGGAGAUUCUCAAAUGCCCAGCUGUGAAUUUAAGGAGAUUUAAAAAUUUUUUACCCAGAACUUUUAGGCAUCUGUCCUAGGAGUUUUUCUCAAAUUAUUCACUCCACUAAAUUACCUGAAACAGAAGUACUCCUCUGUUUUUUUUAAUUUUUUUUUGUUUUUUUAAUUUUUUUUUGAGACAGCCUCUCACUCUGUCACCCAGACUGCAGUGGUGCAAUCUUGCCUCACUGCAACCUCUGCCCCCAAGGCUCAAGCGAUCCUCCCAUCUCAUAUGAGUAGCUGGGAUCUCAGGCACGCACCAUCACACCUGGCUAUUGUUUUGUAUUUUUAGUAGAGACGGUGUCUCACUACAUUUCCCAGGCUAGUCUCAAACCCCCGAGCUCAAGUGAUCUACCCGCCUCGGCUUCCCAAUGUGCUGGGAUUACAGGCAUGAGCCACUGUGCUGGGCCUACUCCUC